GAUACUACGAUCGACAACUAACCAUGCUUGAGAAUAACCUUCGUUCUCUCAUGUAAUUUGUUCAAGCUAAUACAAAAAUCAGGGGGGUGCUUAGGUAUAUAUAAAAAGACAUAGGUCAACUUCAAGCAUAAAGAUUAAGAUUAAUCUUAAAUCUCAAACAACAAACAAUAGCCUUUGUAUCAAAUGACUACAGAGAGGGGACAACUUCCAUAAUCAUGAAUUAAACGGGGCCUUUUUAUUUCA
RNAcentral lists this long non-coding RNA (243 nucleotides) under Solanum tuberosum (potato). Its description in RNAcentral is "long non-coding RNA (STUB_LNC001101)". Lineage: Eukaryota; Viridiplantae; Streptophyta; Magnoliopsida; Solanales; Solanaceae. The record is from RNAcentral.